CAGAAGUAAAACUGUUAUUAUUCACAGGUGACAUAUUAUAAUAUAGGAAACACUAAAGAGGUCACUAAAAAAACUACUAAAUUUAGGCAUGGCAGAUGACCAGGCACCGAGCAGAGAGCGACAUGUUUCAUAUUCCGGAGGGCGGCGGAGCCAGCUCCAAGGGGAAAGAAAGUGGUAUCUUUGAAGAAUCAAUGCCUAUGCACACUCGACAGUGUCUGAACUCACCUGGUGGGAAGACCAGUGACAUUUUUUGUUCCCCAGUGAUGGCUACUUUACCUUUGGCACAUCCAACAAAUCAAGGGACCGUGCACUCUUAUAUGAAGGAGAAAACAAAAAAUUGGACUUUACAGUUGUCAUGAGCACCUUGCUCAGAGAAGAGCCAAGUGAAAAAAGAAGCCCAAGAGAAGCACACUGUUCCCAGGAGCCCCAGCCCACACCUACAGCUGAUGGCCACGAUUGGGCCCAAGUCCUCAAUCUCACAACAAAGUCCUGAAUCCACCUGGAGGCAAAUCCAGCAUCUCCUUCUAUUAUAUUAGAGAAGUUAUUGCUUCCCCUGUAGCCAGAUAAGAAAAUCAAGAUAGGAUUUAAAAUAGUUUCCUUUAGCCCAAAGGAAUGGGGGUGGGGAGAGGGUCUGUCAUAUAUCUGAAGCCACUGCUCAGGCUCCCCUGCCACCUUGAGAGCCACAGAGGACAUCACCUUCCAGACUGCCAAGAGACAUAUCUUGGUCAGAGGAGGGAGCGGGGCUGUGAUGCUUUGGUGAGAAGUCAUAUGUAAUUUUGGAUGUGGGAGGAACUUUCAGUUGGGCUGGGUGUGGAGCUGGUACAAGGCUACAGGGGCCCUGAUGAAGUGAGAUCUUCCAAGUAAUUGUUGCAUCAGUGACCUGCCAUCCAAUUGGGUAUCUAGGAAUCACUUCACAUAGUAGCAGAGAUUUUAAAGCCUCAGAAAGAAAGCCAAAAACUACCCAUGAGUUGAGCAUAAGUCGAAACACUAUUCUCCAUUCUUGGGACUACUGCUGCUAACCCCGAGACCUCUUUUGCAUCCAGGCACAGAGUAUUCUGCAGUCUUUUCAUGAAGCAUUCUGAUUGCUUUCCUUCGGCAGCUGUCAACAAAAAGCAAAAAAGUUUUCCUGGUCUUAUGCUUUAAGAAGAUAUUUGUACCUUGAUCCUCUGGGGUGAUCUAUCUGCCUUUCAAUCACAAGGGACUGGACUGGGUCUCUUCACAGACUGGUUUUGCUUGUGAAUUUUUUUUCUCUCAUCCCUAAAUUUCAACCUUAGCUCUUCACCACGAAUGUGGACAGUUCAUUUAUCUGCAAGACCCACUGACUUCUGUAAGACUAAAACUCUACCCAGAUACAUAAUUGGGUUAUUUAAAUCUUUCAUUUGUCUUUAUUCCUGUUGACAUUGGGAAGAAGAGAUAUUUGAGAACUUUGAGUUCUUUAAUAAUAUCUAAAGAGCUAUUCUUAAAUACCAGCUUUACAUAAGUGACUAUUGACUCUGGUCUGUUUCUGACACCUCUCUAGAAAAAAGUCAGUUUCAAAGAGAAAGAAAAGUUUGCUUAGACCACCCUUUAUAAAGCUUUGCAGAACCUUUGGACCAUAUUCAGUUUCUAGAAGAGACUUGGAAACCUUAGGCUAGGACAGUGAUUAGUUUGGCAAAAAAAAAGCCUAAGCUGGCCAAUUCUAUUAUAUUGGCCAGCAAAGGUAACAAUCUGGCAAAUUGUGUUGCUUUAAUCUUGUCAGGCAGAAGUUUCUCACAUUGAACUUCCUAAGAAUUAUAGUCUACAUCACCCAUGCUGGAUCAGUAGUUAACAGAGGAGAAAGCGGGUUCGUGUAGUGGUGGCUGUUGGUAUGAGUGCCUGCAGAGCUAAUGCCAGGUACCGGGAAUGUCUUCAUUGUUAAAAUUGAGAAAAGAAACACAUGUGUUUAGUCAUAGCCACAGUGGCUGAGAUACUAAGUGCCUAUAGGAGCUGCCUCCCAAACUCCACUUCUUACACCUGGCACAUUGAGGGGAUCUGCAUGUGGCUUUGUCAACCAAAGAGUUUCCUUCCUUUCAGUUACCCUGCUGACUUUGGAGCCAAUAAAUACUUAUUUCAUGUGACUUUAUCAAGUACUUCCUGUUUUCGUGUUUUAAAUGGUAAUUUUUAAGAAAAUUGUUUGGAAUUCAGAAUAUUUCCCCCUGCCCAUUAAAAAUGUCAUAAAUGAUAGUUAACUUUUAAGCCCAAACACACAAAUUUGUUUUAACUUAUAAUGAAAUGUACUAAUGGUAGAAAUGAACUGCCAUUUAUAAACUACAUUUUGCUUUUUAAUACAUAAGAAAAUAAGUUGUGAAUUCCAAAUUGGGUUGCUGGAAUUGUGCUGCUGGUCCUCGUGGCCUCACCUUCACCCUCACUGUCAGGCAAAUGAGAGGAAGGACUCUAGUUUUAUCAACUGGCAGGGAUCCAUGAACUCUUAGCAUCCUGUUAUCAACCUCUAAGCUGCUUUGAAAAAUCACCAGUCUAUUUUUAUUAAGCCUUAAAAUUUUUUAUGUGCAUUUGGUGCCAACAUUUUUCUAGAGCUGUAUCAAAAACAACAAACCUGUACUCACAUCACAAUGUAAUUUUGAUAGGAACAUUUUGUUAUUUUUACAAGGCAGAAUUGGGUGUAACAGUUGAAAUAAACUUAGUAAUCAUG
Long non-coding RNA from Pipistrellus kuhlii (Kuhl's pipistrelle), 2668 nucleotides. RefSeq lists it as uncharacterized. The record is from RefSeq and is a predicted model, not a curated record. Lineage: Eukaryota; Metazoa; Chordata; Mammalia; Chiroptera; Vespertilionidae. The transcript has 2 exons.